UGCGGGUAAGCCGAAAACCGUAUCAGAGAGUAGGCA
This 36-nucleotide non-coding RNA is filed under the name unclassified sequences. Its description in RNAcentral is "DUF805b RNA". It matches the Rfam family "DUF805b RNA". From Rfam's summary of the family: Bacteroidetes, Chlorobi (1 example), Proteobacteria. The record is from RNAcentral.